This 200-nucleotide ribosomal RNA is filed under the name uncultured bacterium. RNAcentral's name for it is "partial 16S ribosomal RNA". It matches the Rfam family "Bacterial small subunit ribosomal RNA", at positions 8 to 198 of the family's 1533-position model. The record is from RNAcentral.
AGAGUUUGAUCCUGGCUCAGGAUUAACGCUGGCGGCGUGCCUAACACAUGCAAGUCGAGCGGGUGCCAGUCUGUAGCAAUACAGAUGAAGCGCUAGCGGCAGACGGGUGAGUAACACGUAGUCAACCUGCCUUUCCGUCCGGGAUAACUAAUCGAAAGGUUAGCUAAUACCUGAUACGAUCGUCGAGCGGCAUCGCUUGA